Molecule: ribosomal RNA, 497 nt
Filed under: uncultured bacterium
Lineage: Bacteria
Description: partial 16S ribosomal RNA
Rfam family: Bacterial small subunit ribosomal RNA
Source: RNAcentral
GAUGAACGCUGGCGGCGUGCCUAAUACAUGCAAGUCGAGCGAACGGACGAGGAGCUUGCUCCUCUGACGUUAGCGGCGGACGGGUGAGUAACACGUGGAUAACCUACCUAUAAGACUGGGAUAACUUCGGGAAACCGGAGCUAAUACCGGAUAAUAUAUUGAACCGCAUGGUUCAAUAGUGAAAGACGGUUUUGCUGUCACUUAUAGAUGGCUCCGCGCCGCAUUAGCUAGUUGGUAAGGUAACGGCUUACCAAGGCAACGAUGCGUAGCCGACCUGAGAGGGUGAUCGGCCACACUGGAACUGAGACACGGUCCAGACUCCUACGGGAGGCAGCAGUAGGGAAUCUUCCGCAAUGGGCGAAAGCGUGACGGAGCAACGCCGCGUGAGUGAUGAAGGUCUUCGGAUCGUAAAACUCUGUUAUUAGGGAAGAACAAAUGUGUAAGUAACUAUGCACGUCUUGACGGUACCUAAUCAGAAAGCCACGGCUAACUACGUG